UGCCAGCAGCCGCGGUAACACGGGGGGCGCAAGCGUUAUUCGGAAUUAUUGGGCGUAAAGCGCGUGUAGGCGGUUCGUUAAGUCUGAUGUGAAAGCCCGGGGCUCAACCCCGGAAGUGCAUUGGAAACUGGCGAACUUGAGUACGGGAGAGGAGAGAGGAAUUCCUGGUGUAGAGGUGAAAUUCGUAGAUAUCAGGAGGAACACCGAUGGCGAAGGCAUCUCUCUGGACCGAUAUUGACGCUGAGGCGCGAAGGCGUGGGUAGCGAACGGGAUUAGAUA
RNAcentral lists this ribosomal RNA (279 nucleotides) under uncultured bacterium. Its description in RNAcentral is "partial 16S ribosomal RNA". It matches the Rfam family "Bacterial small subunit ribosomal RNA", at positions 506 to 784 of the family's 1533-position model. The record is from RNAcentral.